AUCGCUUCUCGGCCUUUUGGCUAAGAUCAAGUGUAGUAUCUGUUCUUAUCAGUAUCUUGUCGGACGGUUGAGACUGCGAUCGGCCUCUUGGAGGUUUCCUGACUCGAGAUCCCUU
Molecule: small nuclear RNA, 115 nt
Filed under: Carassius auratus (goldfish)
Lineage: Eukaryota; Metazoa; Chordata; Actinopteri; Cypriniformes; Cyprinidae
Description: U2 spliceosomal RNA (ENSCARG00000036944.1)
Rfam family: U2 spliceosomal RNA
About the family: U2 is a small nuclear RNA (snRNA) component of the spliceosome (involved in pre-mRNA splicing). Complementary binding between U2 snRNA (in an area lying towards the 5' end but 3' to hairpin I) and the branchpoint sequence (BPS) of the intron results the bulging out of an unpaired adenosine, on the BPS, which initiates a nucleophilic attack at the intronic 5' splice site, thus starting the first of two transesterification reactions that mediate splicing.
Source: Rfam by way of RNAcentral